AAUAUCUAUGAUAUCAACAACAAAGUCAUCUAGCUAGCUUUUAAUGUGAAUGAGUUAUAGCCAUUAAAAUUAAUGCAUGAAAAAUGAGUGAGUGCUAAAUGUUAAGAUUUUUGGUGUAUCUAAUAUAAGUUAGAUCUCGUGUAAGAGUGAAUUUUUAAUAAUUGUUAGAUUAAAAAUAUUUAUAUCUGAGAUGUGCGCAUAAUUACAUAUUAAGUAAAGAA
RNAcentral lists this unclassified non-coding RNA (221 nucleotides) under Hevea brasiliensis (rubber tree). The record is from RNAcentral. Lineage: Eukaryota; Viridiplantae; Streptophyta; Magnoliopsida; Malpighiales; Euphorbiaceae.